CAUAAAGGUUACUAGGUUACUAUUUUCAACGAAAACUGUUUAUUUAUUAAGCAGUAUAAUAUACCUUCGACGAAAUCAAAUGUAACCAUACCAACGUAAGAAAUAACAUAAACAAAUCCAAACUUUUCGUCUUGCCAUUCCACUUGUUAACUCCACCAUCUUGGUGUAACCUUGAGUAAUUUCAUUUCUGGCAACUGUGUAUGCAACCGCCAUUUCUCUAAUGGAAUACGGAGGUAAACAUUACGAUACGGAUGCGAUACGGAGCUUAAAAUCGUAGAAAUCCAUAGCAACAGUUUCACGCAGUCAUCGCAACCAACAGCAGCAAUUGACCGCCUCUCGAUCGAUUCGUUGUUCCAGGAAACGAUGGAUAUCAGUUGGGCCAAUCGUACCGUCAGCAGCAAGGAAACCAACAACAACCGUUUUACACUGAGCAAUCAACAGCGACCGAUUCGGACAACAUUGACUCGGAUGGAAGCAGCAGCAACAGCGCAGAUUGUCGGUGUUAUUCCAUAUACUGUCUGCAGUAAAAACUCCACUAGUUGAUGAACGAUAUGCUACGGCGAAAGUAUCACAAUUUCAAACACAUCGUCCCGACAACAUUAAUUCUAAAGCGGUACUUGACGACGGCACCCAGCGAAAACCAUCAUCAUCACUACCACCGACAGCAGUCCACUAAUCCUUCCAUCAAAGGAUCGGAGGGAAAGCGAUAUGUGUCCCAUUUGUGACACAAUUUCCUCCACAAAUCACUCAACAGCUCAACAACAGGAAAUCCGCGUCUGAGGAUGAUGGGGAGAGUCAGUUUGCGUGGUAAAUUUGCUUCAAGGCGCUUCGUUACUGGAUCGGUACAUGCUGCCUCCGCUCGAAUUUGGAGCGUCACAUCAAGCAGUAACAUCCUUAAUUCUGGUCGUAUUGUCAGCGCGGAGGCAGAGAUCCAAAUCCAUCGUCGACAUGGCAGAAAAAAAAUCGUAUAAAGCCUAACGCCAAACCGUGUCAACUGCCCCUACUGGCAUGUUCCCCUGGGACAACAACAUCAGCAUAGGAUCGGAAAACAACAGUCCACUGGAGAAAACUGCGAUCUCUUCGAAGGUAUUGCCCAUGACAGAUUCCACCGUGAAGAAGUAUUUUUCUGAUAUCGAACUCUAGGGGGGAGUUCGAUGCCAGUUAGCGCUCUAGUUGAAGUAUCCAGUGAAUAGAGAACAGACACUCUGUUCAA
Toxorhynchites rutilus septentrionalis is the source of this 1213-nucleotide long non-coding RNA. RefSeq lists it as uncharacterized. Lineage: Eukaryota; Metazoa; Arthropoda; Insecta; Diptera; Culicidae. The record is from RefSeq and is a predicted model, not a curated record. The transcript has 3 exons.